UGGGGAAUUUUGGACAAUGGACGCAAGUCUGAUCCAGCCAUGCCGCGUGCGGGAAGAAGGCCUUCGGGUUGUAAACCGCUUUUGUCAGGGAAGAAACGAGUUUCUCUAAUACAGAGACUUAAUGACGGUACCUGAAGAAUAAGCACCGGCUAACUACGUGCCAGCAGCCGCGGUAAUACGUAGGGUGCAAGCGUUAAUCGGAAUUACUGGGCGUAAAGCGUGCGCAGGCGGUUAUAUAAGACAGAUGUGAAAUCCCCGGGCUCAACCUGGGAACUGCCUUUGUGACUGCAUGGCUAGAGUGCGGCAGAGGGGGAUGGAAUUCCGCGUGUAGCAGUGAAAUGCGUAGAUAUGCAGAGGAACACCGAUGGCGAAGGCAAUCCCCUGGGCCUGCACUGACGCUCAUGCACGAAAGCGUGGGGAGCAAACA
RNAcentral lists this ribosomal RNA (427 nucleotides) under uncultured bacterium. Its description in RNAcentral is "bacterial SSU rRNA". It matches the Rfam family "Bacterial small subunit ribosomal RNA", at positions 355 to 774 of the family's 1533-position model. The record is from RNAcentral.